This 1049-nucleotide ribosomal RNA is filed under the name Acinetobacter rudis. RNAcentral describes it as "bacterial SSU rRNA". It matches the Rfam family "Bacterial small subunit ribosomal RNA", at positions 56 to 1097 of the family's 1533-position model. Lineage: Bacteria; Pseudomonadati; Pseudomonadota; Gammaproteobacteria; Moraxellales; Moraxellaceae. The record is from RNAcentral.
UGCAAGUCGAGCGGGGAAAGGUAGCUUGCUACUGGACCUAGCGGCGGACGGGUGAGUAAUACUUAGGAAUCUGCCUAUUAGUGGGGGACAACGUUCCGAAAGGAGCGCUAAUACCGCAUACGCCCUACGGGGGAAAGCAGGGGAUCACUUGUGACCUUGCGCUAAUAGAUGAGCCUAAGUCGGAUUAGCUAGUUGGUGGGGUAAAGGCCUACCAAGGCGACGAUCUGUAGCGGGUCUGAGAGGAUGAUCCGCCACACUGGGACUGAGACACGGCCCAGACUCCUACGGGAGGCAGCAGUGGGGAAUAUUGGACAAUGGGGGGAACCCUGAUCCAGCCAUGCCGCGUGUGUGAAGAAGGCCUUUUGGUUGUAAAGCACUUUAAGCGAGGAGGAGAAGCCCUAGGUUAAUACCCUAGGAGCUUGGACGUUACUCGCAGAAUAAGCACCGGCUAACUCUGUGCCAGCAGCCGCGGUAAUACAGAGGGUGCGAGCGUUAAUCGGAUUUACUGGGCGUAAAGCGUGCGUAGGCGGCCAUUUAAGUCGGAUGUGAAAUCCCCGAGCUCAACUUGGGAAUUGCAUUCGAUACUGGGUGGCUAGAGUAUAGGAGAGGAAGGUAGAAUUCCAGGUGUAGCGGUGAAAUGCGUAGAGAUCUGGAGGAAUACCGAUGGCGAAGGCAGCCUUCUGGCCUAAUACUGACGCUGAGGUACGAAAGCAUGGGGAGCAAACAGGAUUAGAUACCCUGGUAGUCCAUGCCGUAAACGAUGUCUACUAGCCGUUGGGGUCUUUGAGACCUUAGUGGCGCAGCUAACGCGAUAAGUAGACCGCCUGGGGAGUACGGUCGCAAGACUAAAACUCAAAUGAAUUGACGGGGGCCCGCACAAGCGGUGGAGCAUGUGGUUUAAUUCGAUGCAACGCGAAGAACCUUACCUGGCCUUGACAUACUAGAAACUUUCCAGAGAUGGAUUGGUGCCUUCGGGAAUCUAGAUACAGGUGCUGCAUGGCUGUCGUCAGCUCGUGUCGUGAAAUGUUGGGUUAAGUCCCGCAACGAGC